AUAUUUGCUAAAGAUUCAUCGCUGAUAGAUAGGCAUGCGUUCCAUUAGGCAGUUGGCGGGGUAACGGCCCACCAAACCGACGAUGGAUAGGGGUUCUGAGAGGAAGGUCCCCCACAUUGGUACUGAGACACGGACCAAACUCCUACGGGAGGCAGCAGUGAGGAAUAUUGGUCAAUGGCCGAGAGGCUGAACCAGCCAAGUCGCGUGAGGGAUGAAGGUUCUAUGGAUCGUAAACCUCUUUUAUAAGGGAAUAAAGUGCGGGACGUGUCCCGUUUUGUAUGUACCUUAUGAAUAAGGAUCGGCUAACUCCGUGCCAGCAGCCGCGGUAAUACGGAGGAUCCGAGCGUUAUCCGGAUUUAUUGGGUUUAAAGGGUGCGUAGGCGGCCUUUUAAGUCAGCGGUGAAAGUCUGUGGCUCAACCAUAGAAUUGCCGUUGAAACUGGGGGGCUUGAGUAUGUUUGAGGCAGGCGGAAUGCGUGGUGUAGCGGUGAAAUGCAUAGAUAUCACGCAGAACCCCGAUUGCGAAGGCAGCCUGCCAAGCCAUGACUGACGCUGAUGCACGAAAGCGUGGGGAUCAAACAGGAUUAGAUACCCUGGUAGUCCACGCAGUAAACGAUGAUCACUAGCUGUUUGCGAUACACAGUAAGCGGCACAGCGAAAGCGUUAAGUGAUCCACCUGGGGAGUACGCCGGCAACGGUGAAACUCAAAGGAAUUGACGGGGGCCCGCACAAGCGGAGGAACAUGUGGUUUAAUUCGAUGAUACGCGAGGAACCUUACCCGGGUUUGAACGCAUUCGGACCGAGGUGGAAACACCUUUUCUAGCAAUAGCCGUUUGCGAGGUGCUGCAUGGUUGUCGUCAGCUCGUGCCGUGAGGUGUCGGCUUAAGUGCCAUAACGAGCGCAACCCUUGCCACUAGUUACUAACAGGUGAUGCUGAGGACUCUGGUGGGACUGCCAGCGUAAGCUGCGAGGAAGGCGGGGAUGACGUCAAAUCAGCACGGCCCUUACAUCCGGGGCGACACACGUGUUACAAUGGCGUGGACAAAGGGAGGCCACCUGGCGACAGGGAGCGAAUCCCCAAACCACGUCUCAGUUCGGAUCGGAGUCUGCAACCCGACUCCGUGAAGCUGGAUUCGCUAGUAAUCGCGCAUCAGCCAUGGCGCGGUGAAUACGUUCCCGGGCCUUGUACACACCGCCCGUCAAGCCAUGGGAGCCGGGGGUACCUGAAGUCCGUAACCGCGAGGAUCGGCCUAGGGUAAAACUGGUGACUGGGGCUAAGUCGUAACAAGGUAGCCGUACCGGAAGGUGCGGCUGGAACACCU
This 1321-nucleotide ribosomal RNA is filed under the name Parabacteroides distasonis. RNAcentral's name for it is "bacterial SSU rRNA". It matches the Rfam family "Bacterial small subunit ribosomal RNA", at positions 194 to 1528 of the family's 1533-position model. The record is from RNAcentral. Lineage: Bacteria; Pseudomonadati; Bacteroidota; Bacteroidia; Bacteroidales; Tannerellaceae.